This 534-nucleotide ribosomal RNA is filed under the name Bifidobacterium longum subsp. suillum. Its description in RNAcentral is "bacterial SSU rRNA". It matches the Rfam family "Bacterial small subunit ribosomal RNA", at positions 162 to 709 of the family's 1533-position model. The record is from RNAcentral. Lineage: Bacteria; Bacillati; Actinomycetota; Actinomycetes; Bifidobacteriales; Bifidobacteriaceae.
GGUAAUGCCGGAUGCUCCAGUUGAUCGCAUGGUCUUCUGGGAAAGCUUUCGCGGUAUGGGAUGGGGUCGCGUCCUAUCAGCUUGACGGCGGGGUAACGGCCCACCGUGGCUUCGACGGGUAGCCGGCCUGAGAGGGCGACCGGCCACAUUGGGACUGAGAUACGGCCCAGACUCCUACGGGAGGCAGCAGUGGGGAAUAUUGCACAAUGGGCGCAAGCCUGAUGCAGCGACGCCGCGUGAGGGAUGGAGGCCUUCGGGUUGUAAACCUCUUUUAUCGGGGAGCAAGCGUGAGUGAGUUUACCCGUUGAAUAAGCACCGGCUAACUACGUGCCAGCAGCCGCGGUAAUACGUAGGGUGCAAGCGUUAUCCGGAAUUAUUGGGCGUAAAGGGCUCGUAGGCGGUUCGUCGCGUCCGGUGUGAAAGUCCAUCGCUUAACGGUGGAUCCGCGCCGGGUACGGGCGGGCUUGAGUGCGGUAGGGGAGACUGGAAUUCCCGGUGUAACGGUGGAAUGUGUAGAUAUCGAAAAAAAAACAC